Molecule: ribosomal RNA, 377 nt
Filed under: uncultured bacterium
Lineage: Bacteria
Description: bacterial SSU rRNA
Rfam family: Bacterial small subunit ribosomal RNA
Source: RNAcentral
UAAGACGAACCUUGCAAACGUUAUUCGGAAUCACUGGGCUUAAAGGGUGCGUAGGCAGUGCAGAAAGUCGGGUGUGAAAUCCCUCAGCUCAACUGAGGAAUUGCGCCCGAAACUGCUGUGCUAGAGGAAUACAGAGGUGAGCGGAACUCAGGGUGGAGCGGUGAAAUGCGUUGAUAUCCUGAGGAACACCGGUGGCGAAAGCGGCUCACUGGGUAUUUUCUGACGCUGAGGCACGAAAGCUAGGGGAGCAAACGGGAUUAGAUACCCCGGUAGUCCUAGCCGUAAACUCUGAGCACUUGGUUGGAGGGUCCUCCAUAGCCUUCUAGCCGUAGCGAAAGUGUUAAGUGCUCCGCCUGGGGAGUAUGGUCGCAAGGCUG